GCCGGGGUGGCGGAAUUGGCAGACGCGCUAGCUUGAGGGGCUAGUGGGAAAUUUUCCCGUACGAGUUCAAGUCUCGUCCUCGGCACCA
RNAcentral lists this transfer RNA (88 nucleotides) under Caldifarciminota bacterium. Its description in RNAcentral is "tRNA-Leu". It matches the Rfam family "tRNA". From Rfam's summary of the family: Transfer RNA (tRNA) molecules are approximately 80 nucleotides in length. Their secondary structure includes four short double-helical elements and three loops (D, anti-codon, and T loops). Further hydrogen bonds mediate the characteristic L-shaped molecular structure. tRNAs have two regions of fundamental functional importance: the anti-codon, which is responsible for specific mRNA codon recognition, and the 3' end, to which the tRNAs corresponding amino acid is attached (by aminoacyl-tRNA synthetases). tRNAs cope with the degeneracy of the genetic code in two manners: having more than one tRNA (with a specific anti-codon) for a particular amino acid; and 'wobble' base-pairing, i.e. permitting non-standard base-pairing at the 3rd anti-codon position. RNAcentral also lists the same sequence under 2 other names. The record is from RNAcentral. Lineage: Bacteria; Pseudomonadati; Caldifarciminota.